AUAAAGAAUAUUUGCCUUUAUGAAUCACAGGUCUGGCCGACUGUCAGCUAACACCUUCGCUUUUUUCAUCUAAGCCUCUAAGCUAUCUUGUUCUUCUCAAAUUUUGCGCCCAAGACAAGUUUUUUUUUCUUUUUAAUAUUUGAAUCAACUCCCUUUUCACUAACCCUAAUCAUUCGUAUCAUUUUCGCAGGCAAAACGGUGUUGAAGCAGAGAGAAGAAGCGGGAUUUUCCCCCUCAAUUGUGCUCAAAAUAAUUUAAAAUGGCUGGAAGAAAUCGCAUUCCUCGCGAAGCAUUCAAUGACCGGCAUGGAUUUCCUCCUGAAAGAUCUUUCCUCCGUGGUCCUCCUCUGCCACAACAACGUCCUCAUCCUGUGUUGUUGGAGGAAGAACUUGAAAUGCAGCAUGCAGAAAUUCGGAGGCUUUUGACUGAUAACAGCAGGCUGGUAGAAGAUCGAAUAGCUAUACAACAAGAGCUUGGUGCUGCGAAAGAGGAAAUUCAUCGUUUAAAUCUUUUCAUUGGUGACGUUCGUGCUGAGCAAGAGCUGUACUCAAGGGGACUUAUUGACAAAGGCUUGAAGCUGGAAGCAGAUCUGCGUGCAACUGAGCCAAUUAAAAAAGAGGUUGUGCAACUUCGUGCAGAAGUUCAGAAACUGAAUAAUAAUAAGCAGGAACUAACUGGUCAAGUUCAGGCUCUCAAACAAGAUGUUGGCAGGCUGCAAGCUGAUAAUCAACAGAUACCUGUUCUGAGACCAGAAAUUGAUGGCCUGCACCAGGAAUUGAUGCAUGCAAGGAAUGCUAUUGAUUAUGAAAAGAAGGCAAAUAUUGAGCUUUUGGAACAGAGACAAGCAAUGGAGAAGAACAUGGUCUCCAUGGCACGUGAGGUUGAAAAGCUACGUGCAGAACUUGCCAUUGUUGAUGGUAGACCUUGGGCUGCUGCUCAAGGUGGACCAUAUGGCAUGAAAUUCCACAGUUCAGAGGGGGCUUUUCCAGCUUCAUAUGAAGGAUACGGAGCUCGUCUGGCUGGUGCUAAUAAGGGUCCUUUUCAUGGUCCUUGUCCUGGGACUUGGGAGAAGUCCCGCAAUACUCAUCGCUAGGAAAGUUAUUGCUUGAUGCAAGAAAGGUGAAAUUGUUGCUCUAUUUUGGAAGUGCAAAAUAUUGACCAGCAUGGGGUUAUAAUCAUCUAUGUUUCAUGCAACAGCCGUAAUUUUUAUCUUAAUACAUUAUUGGUACCUGGUAUACAUCACACGAAAUGGUGAAGAAAGAUCAUGUAUGCAUAUACAUGAUGUUGAGGAAAUAUGAUGAAUGAGUGGUUGUUUUGGUGCACGCUUCGUUGAGGAGGACUGACGAUUUGUAUGAUGAAGAAUCUACUGGCUUGGUGUCUGGACCUUCAUCGUCCUCAUAAUUCUGGGUUUCUUUUUCACUUAUCAUUCGUGUGGGGUUUAAAGUGAGUCAUAUAUUGCUUUCAGUGUGGUAUUGACCUUUUUUUUUCUUUUAGUUGUCUGUUUCCAAGUGUUGUGUAGUUUAACAUUGUUAAGUGCCAAAUCAAAGAUGAUGUGGUUUUAUCCUCUGAAUCAUGGAUUGAAUGGGAUUUCUGCAAGUGGUUGAUCCAACGUUGUUUUCAUUUUCUUUUCUGGAUAAUUUCAUUCAUUCAAAGAACCGAAAAUACAA
Molecule: RNA transcript, 1667 nt
Organism: Gossypium arboreum
Lineage: Eukaryota; Viridiplantae; Streptophyta; Magnoliopsida; Malvales; Malvaceae
Gene name: protein FLX-like 3
Exons: 8
Source: RefSeq, a predicted model, not a curated record